CCUUCAUGAAGCCGGAAUUGCUAGUAAUGGCAGGUCAGCAUACUGCCGUGAAUACGUUCCCGGGCCUUGUACACACCGCCCGUCACACCAUGAGAGUUGGGGAUACCCGAAGCCUGUGAGCCAACUAUAUAGAGGCAGCAGUCGAAGGUAGAAUCAAUGAUUGGGGUGAAGUCGUAACAAGGUAAC
RNAcentral lists this ribosomal RNA (186 nucleotides) under uncultured bacterium. RNAcentral's name for it is "partial 16S ribosomal RNA". It matches the Rfam family "Bacterial small subunit ribosomal RNA", at positions 1315 to 1500 of the family's 1533-position model. The record is from RNAcentral.